CAGUCGCCACGGUAAUACGUAGGGUGCAAGCGUUAAUCGGAAUUACUGGGCGUAAAGCGUGCGCAGGCGGUUUGUUAAGACAGAUGUGAAAUCCCCGGGCUCAACCUGGGAACUGCAUUUGUGACUGGCAAGCUAGAGUGUGGCAGAGGGGGGUGGAGUUCCGCGUGUAGCAGUGAAAUGCGUAGAUAUGCGGAGGAACACCGAUGGCGAAGGCAGCCCCCUGGGCCAACACUGACGCUCAUGCACGAAAGCGUGGGGAGCAAACAGGAUUAGAUACCCCCGUAGUCCCUGUCUCUUAUAC
This 301-nucleotide ribosomal RNA is filed under the name uncultured bacterium. Its description in RNAcentral is "partial 16S ribosomal RNA". It matches the Rfam family "Bacterial small subunit ribosomal RNA", at positions 509 to 807 of the family's 1533-position model. The record is from RNAcentral.